Molecule: ribosomal RNA, 468 nt
Filed under: uncultured bacterium
Lineage: Bacteria
Description: partial 16S ribosomal RNA
Rfam family: Bacterial small subunit ribosomal RNA
Source: RNAcentral
GACGAACGCUGGCGGCGUGCUUAACACAUGCAAGUCGAACGGAAAGGCCCUGCUUUUGUGGGGUGCUCGAGUGGCGAACGGGUGAGUAACACGUGAGUAACCUGCCCUUGACUUUGGGAUAACUUCAGGAACCUGGGGCUAAUACCGGAUAGGAGCUCCUGCUGCAUGGUGGGGGUUGGAAAGUGUCGGCGGUUGGGGAUGGACUCGCGGCUUAUCAGCUUGUUGGUGGGGUAGUGGCUUACCAAGGCUUUGACGGGUAGCCGGCCUGAGAGGGUGACCGGCCACAUUGGGACUGAGAUACGGCCCAGACUCCUACGGGAGGCAGCAGUGGGGAAGAUUGCACAAUGGGCGGAAGCCUGAUGCAGCAACGCCGCGUGCGGGAUGACGGCCUUCUGGUUGUAAACCGCUUUCGCCUGUGACGAAGAGUGAGUGACGGUAACGGGUAAAGAAGCACCGGCUAACUACGUG